AACGAACGCUGGCGGCAGGCUUAACACAUGCAAGUCGAGCGCAUCCUUCGGGGUGAGCGGCAGACGGGUGAGUAACGCGUGGGAACGUACCCUUUCCUACGGAAUAGCUCCGGGAAACUGGAAUUAAUACCGUAUACGCCCUUAGGGGGAAAGAUUUAUCGGGGAAGGAUCGGCCCGCGUUGGAUUAGCUAGUUGGUGGGGUAAAGGCCUACCAAGGCGACGAUCCAUAGCUGGUCUGAGAGGAUGAUCAGCCACAUUGGGACUGAGACACGGCCCAAACGCCUACGGGAGGCAUCAGUGGGGAAUAUUGGACAAUGGGCGCAAGCCUGAUCCAGCCAUGCCGCGUGAGUGAUGAAGGCCUUAGGGUUGUAAAGCUCUUUCAGUAGGGAAGAUAAUGACGGUACCUACAGAAGAAGCCCCGGCUAACUUCGUGCCAGCAGCCGCAGUAA
Molecule: ribosomal RNA, 449 nt
Filed under: uncultured bacterium
Lineage: Bacteria
Description: partial 16S ribosomal RNA
Rfam family: Bacterial small subunit ribosomal RNA
Source: RNAcentral